AUACGUAGGGUGCGAGCGUUGUCCGGAAUUACUGGGCGUAAAGAGCUCGUAGGUGGUUUGUCGCGUCGUCUGUGAAAUUCCGGGGCUUAACUCCGGGCGUGCAGGCGAUACGGGCAUAACUUGAGUACUGUAGGGGAGACUGGAAUUCCUGGUGUAGCGGUGAAAUGCGCAGAUAUCAGGAGGAACACCGGUGGCGAAGGCGGGUCUCUGGGCAGUAACUGACGCUGAGGAGCGAAAGCAUGGGUAGCGAACAGGAUUAGAUACCCUGGUAGUCCAUGCCGUAAACGGUGGGCGCUAGGUGUAGGGGUCUUCCACGACUUCUGUGCCGUAGCUAACGCAUUAAGCGCCCCGCCUGGGGAGUACGGCCGCAAGGCUAAAACUUAAAGGAAUUGACGGG
This 397-nucleotide ribosomal RNA is filed under the name uncultured bacterium. RNAcentral's name for it is "partial 16S ribosomal RNA". It matches the Rfam family "Bacterial small subunit ribosomal RNA", at positions 523 to 917 of the family's 1533-position model. The record is from RNAcentral.